GACAGAGGGUGCAAACGUUGUUCGGAAUUACUGGGCGUAAAGCGCGUGUAGGCGGUGCGGUAAGUCGGAUGUGAAAGCCCCGGGCUCAACCCGGGAAGUGCACUCGAUACUGCCACGCUAGAGUAUCGGAGAGGUUGGUGGAAUUCUCGGUGUAGAGGUGAAAUUCGUAGAUAUCGAGAGGAACACCGGUGGCGAAGGCGGCCAACUGGACGAAUACUGACGCUGAGACUCGAAAGCGUGGGGAGCAAACAGG
This 253-nucleotide ribosomal RNA is filed under the name uncultured bacterium. RNAcentral's name for it is "partial 16S ribosomal RNA". It matches the Rfam family "Bacterial small subunit ribosomal RNA", at positions 524 to 776 of the family's 1533-position model. The record is from RNAcentral.